GGUGUCGAAGACUUAAUAGAAAAGCCGGUUAAAGGCCGGCGCGGUCCCGCCACUGUAUCAGCGAGCGACUCUGCAAUUGGUCACUGGGGAAAACCUUGGGAAGACGCAGAGGAGCGAUGAACUGGAGCCAGGAGAACUGCCCGAUC
RNAcentral lists this non-coding RNA (146 nucleotides) under bovine gut metagenome. The record is from RNAcentral.